This 274-nucleotide ribosomal RNA is filed under the name uncultured Pseudomonas sp. RNAcentral's name for it is "partial 16S ribosomal RNA". It matches the Rfam family "Bacterial small subunit ribosomal RNA", at positions 1109 to 1382 of the family's 1533-position model. Lineage: Bacteria; Pseudomonadati; Pseudomonadota; Gammaproteobacteria; Pseudomonadales; Pseudomonadaceae. The record is from RNAcentral.
CCUUAGUUACCAGCACGUUAUGGUGGGCACUCUAAGGAGACUGCCGGUGACAAACCGGAGGAAGUGGGGAUGACGUCAAGUCAUCAUGGCCCUUACGGCCUGGGCUACACACGUGCUACAAUGGUCGGUACAAAGGGUUGCCAAGCCGCGAGGUGGAGCUAAAUCCCAUAAAACCGAUCGUAGUCCGGAUCGCAGUCUGCAACUCGACUGCGUGAAGUCGGAAUCGCUAGUAAUCGUGAAUCAGAAUGUCACGGUGAAUACGUUCCCGGGCCUU